Molecule: ribosomal RNA, 620 nt
Filed under: Streptomyces sp. I12A-02403
Lineage: Bacteria; Bacillati; Actinomycetota; Actinomycetes; Kitasatosporales; Streptomycetaceae
Description: bacterial SSU rRNA
Rfam family: Bacterial small subunit ribosomal RNA
Source: RNAcentral
GAACGGGUGAGUAACACGUGGGCAAUCUGCCCUGCACUCUGGGACAAGCCCUGGAAACGGGGUCUAAUACCGGAUAUUACCUUCCUCUGCAUGGGGGUUGGUGGAAAGCUCCGGCGGUGCAGGAUGAGCCCGCGGCCUAUCAGCUUGUUGGUGGGGUAAUGGCCUACCAAGGCGACGACGGGUAGCCGGCCUGAGAGGGCGACCGGCCACACUGGGACUGAGACACGGCCCAGACUCCUACGGGAGGCAGCAGUGGGGAAUAUUGCACAAUGGGCGAAAGCCUGAUGCAGCGACGCCGCGUGAGGGAUGACGGCCUUCGGGUUGUAAACCUCUUUCAGCAGGGAAGAAGCGAAAGUGACGGUACCUGCAGAAGAAGCACCGGCUAACUACGUGCCAGCAGCCGCGGUAAUACGUAGGGUGCGAGCGUUGUCCGGAAUUAUUGGGCGUAAAGAGCUCGUAGGCGGCUUGUCACGUCGGUUGUGAAAGCCCGGGGCUUAACCCCGGGUCUGCAGUCGAUACGGGCAGGCUAGAGUUCGGUAGGGGAGAUCGGAAUUCCUGGUGUAGCGGUGAAAUGCGCAGAUAUCAGGAGGAACACCGGUGGCGAAGGCGGAUCUCUGGGC